UACAGGGGGGGCAAGCGUUGUUCGGAAUUACUGGGCGUAAAGGGUUUGUAGGUGGCUUGUUAAGUCAGACGUGAAAUCCCUCAGCUUAACUGGGGAACUGCGUCUGAUACUGAUGAGCUUGAGUGCAGGAGAGGAACGCGGAAUUCCAGGUGUAGCGGUGAAAUGCGCAGAUAUCAGGAGGAACACCAAUGGCGAAGGCAGCUCGCUGGGACGUGACUGACGCUGAGACGCGAAAGCGUGGGGAGCAAACAGG
This 253-nucleotide ribosomal RNA is filed under the name uncultured bacterium. RNAcentral's name for it is "partial 16S ribosomal RNA". It matches the Rfam family "Bacterial small subunit ribosomal RNA", at positions 524 to 776 of the family's 1533-position model. The record is from RNAcentral.